AACGCUAGCUACAGGCUUAACACAUGCAAGUCGAGGGGCAGCAUGAACUUAGCUUGCUAAGUUUGAUGGCGACCGGCGCACGGGUGAGUAACACGUAUCCAACCUUCCGUUUACUCAGGGAUAGCCUUUCGAAAGAAAGAUUAAUACCUGAUAGUAUGGUGAGAUUGCAUGAUAACACCAUUAAAGAUUUAUUGGUAAACGAUGGGGAUGCGUUCCAUUAGGUAGUAGGCGGGGUAACGGCCCACCUAGCCUGCGAUGGAUAGGGGUUCUGAGAGGAAGGUCCCCCACAUUGGAACUGAGACACGGUCCAAACUCCUACGGGAGGCAGCAGUGAGGAAUAUUGGUCAAUGGGCGAGAGCCUGAACCAGCCAAGUAGCGUGAAGGAUGAAGGUCCUACGGAUUGUAAACUUCUUUUAUACGGGAAUAAAGUUUCCUACGUGUAGGAUUUUGUAUGUACCGUAUGAAUAAGCAUCGGCUAACUCCGUGCCAGCAGCCGCGGUAAUACGGAGGAUGCGAGCGUUAUCCGGAUUUAUUGGGUUUAAAGGGAGCGCAGACGGGAGAUUAAGUCAGUUGUGAAAGUUUGCGGCUCAACCGUAAAAUUGCAGUUGAUACUGGUUUCCUUGAGUGCAGUUGAGGCAGGCGGAAUUCGUGGUGUAGCGGUGAAAUGCUUAGAUAUCACGAAGAACUCCGAUUG
This 694-nucleotide ribosomal RNA is filed under the name uncultured bacterium. RNAcentral's name for it is "bacterial SSU rRNA". It matches the Rfam family "Bacterial small subunit ribosomal RNA", at positions 32 to 715 of the family's 1533-position model. The record is from RNAcentral.